AGAUUGAACGCUGGCGGCAUGCUUUACACAUGCAAGUCGAACGGUAACAGGCCGGCAAGGUGCUGACGAGUGGCGAACGGGUGAGUAAUGUAUCGGAACGUGCCCAGUCGUGGGGGAUAACGCAGCGAAAGCUGCGCUAAUACCGCAUACGAUCUAUGGAUGAAAGCGGGGGACCGUAAGGCCUGCGCGAUUGGAGCGGCCGAUAUCAGAUUAGGUAGUUGGUGGGUAAAGGCUCACCGAAGCCAACGAUCUGUAGCUGGUCUGAGAGGACGACCAGCCACACUGGGACUGAGACACGGCCAGACUCCGUACGGGAGGCAGCAGGUGGGGAAUUUUGGAACAAGUGGGCGCAAGCCUGAUCCAGCAAUGCCGCGUGCGAAGGAA
RNAcentral lists this ribosomal RNA (384 nucleotides) under uncultured soil bacterium. Its description in RNAcentral is "bacterial SSU rRNA". It matches the Rfam family "Bacterial small subunit ribosomal RNA", at positions 26 to 412 of the family's 1533-position model. The record is from RNAcentral.